RNAcentral lists this long non-coding RNA (425 nucleotides) under Bos taurus (domestic cattle). Its description in RNAcentral is "long non-coding RNA NONBTAT017630". The record is from RNAcentral. Lineage: Eukaryota; Metazoa; Chordata; Mammalia; Artiodactyla; Bovidae.
GUUUUCUCAUUACUCUCUGCUUUGUGCACUUUAUGGGGGAGAAAGCUAAAAGAACAAUGGAAAUGCGGUUUUAAGUCCUUCAUGUGCCGCUUAGUGCCUUUUAAGAUUGAACCCAUGCUUUCGAGGACUUGAUCGGGAGGAAAUUGAGGACAUUCACAUGAAAGAUGCUGUUUUGGGAUGAACUGUCAGUUUGUACCGUACUCUUUUGAGAAGGAUUCCUUUUUUUAAAAGUUUACAAAACUUGGCAAAAGCUUCAGAACUAAAGACUGACUAAAAAUGAUGCUAUUACGGUUUUUAAAUCUUACGAUAUUAGAGAAUUGUGUUUGCCACAUAAUAUGGAAAAAUUGUAUUUAAAUCAACCAUACACUGAAAUUUAAGGUCUGUUUCCUGGCAGGCUGGCAGUUUUGUUAGAACAUAUUCUGGUU